GACGAACGCUGGCGGCGUGCUUAACACAUGCAAGUCGAACGGAAAGGCCUGCUUUCCCUUGUGGAUUGCGGGUGCUCGCGUGGCGAACGGGUGAGUAACACGUGAGUGAUCUGCCCCCAACUUGGGUAUAAGCCUGGGAAACUGGGUCUAAUUCCCGAUAGGACUGCAGGGUGGUGCCUGUGGUGGAAAACGAUUUUCUAGUGGUUGGGGAUGAGCUCGCGGCCUAUCAGCUUGUUGGUGGGGUAAUGGCCUACCAAGGCGGCGACGGGUAGCCGGCCUGAGAGGGUGGACGGCCACAUUGGGACUGGGAUACGGCCCAGACUCCUACGGGAGGCAGCAGUGGGGAAUAUUGCACAAUGGGCGGAAGCCUGAUGCAGCGACGCCGCGUGGGGGAUGACGGCCUUCGGGUUGUAAACUCCUUUCGACCGCGAGGAAGCCACCUGGUUGGAAGGGUGGUGACGGUAGUGGUAGAAGAAGCACCGGCUAACUACGUG
This 494-nucleotide ribosomal RNA is filed under the name uncultured bacterium. RNAcentral's name for it is "partial 16S ribosomal RNA". It matches the Rfam family "Bacterial small subunit ribosomal RNA", at positions 28 to 507 of the family's 1533-position model. The record is from RNAcentral.